This 441-nucleotide ribosomal RNA is filed under the name uncultured bacterium. RNAcentral's name for it is "partial 16S ribosomal RNA". It matches the Rfam family "Bacterial small subunit ribosomal RNA", at positions 338 to 795 of the family's 1533-position model. The record is from RNAcentral.
CCUACGGGAGGCCGCAGUGGGGAAUAUUGCACAAUGGGGGAAACCCUGAUGCAGCGACGCCGCGUGAGUGAAGAAGUAUUUCGGUAUGUAAAGCUCUAUCAGCAGGGAAGAAAAAAGACGGUACCUGACUAAGAAGCCCCGGCUAACUACGUGCCAGCAGCCGCGGUAAUACGUAGGGGGCAAGCGUUAGCCGGAUUUACUGGGGGUAAAGGGAGCGUAGGCGGUAUGUCAAGUCUGAAGUGAAAGCCCAGGGCUUAACCCUGGGACUGCUUUGGAAACUGGUCGACUAGAGUGCUGUAGAGGUAAGUGGAAUUCCUAGUGUAGCGGUGAAAUGCGUAGAGAUUAGGAGGAAUACCAGUGGCGAAGGCGGCUUACUGGACAGUAACUGACGUUGAGGUUCGAAAGCGUGGGGAGCAAACAGGAUUAGAUACCCUUGUAGUC